Molecule: ribosomal RNA, 497 nt
Filed under: uncultured bacterium
Lineage: Bacteria
Description: partial 16S ribosomal RNA
Rfam family: Bacterial small subunit ribosomal RNA
Source: RNAcentral
GAUGAACGCUGGCGGCGUGCCUAAUACAUGCAAGUCGAGCGAACAGACGAGGAGCUUGCUCCUCUGACGUUAGCGGCGGACGGGUGAGUAACACGUGGAUAACCUACCUAUAAGACUGGGAUAACUUCGGGAAACCGGAGCUAAUACCGGAUAAUAUAUUGAACCGCAUGGUUCAAUAGUGAAAGACGGUUUUGCUGUCACUUAUAGAUGGAUCCGCGCCGCAUUAGCUAGUUGGUAAGGUAACGGCUUACCAAGGCGACGAUGCGUAGCCGACCUGAGAGGGUGAUCGGCCACACUGGAACUGAGACACGGUCCCGACUCCUACGGGAGGCAGCAGUAGGGAAUCUUCCGCAAUGGGCGGAAGCCUGACGGAGCAACGCCGCGUGAGUGAUGAAGGUUUUCGGAUCGUAAAACUCUGUUAUUAGGGAAGAACAAAUUUGUAAGUAACUAUGCACGUCUUGACGGUACCUAAUCAGAAAGCCACGGCUAACUACGUG